GGAGGGAAGAAGGAGUAACAAAAGUGAAAACAAAAACUAAAAACUAAAAUCUAUUUGAAAUUGUUUUCACUUUCAAGUUUUUGUUUUCACUUUUGUUACUCUUCCCUCCCAUUC
This 114-nucleotide microRNA precursor is filed under the name Prunus dulcis (almond). RNAcentral describes it as "sRNA ncRNA". The record is from RNAcentral. Lineage: Eukaryota; Viridiplantae; Streptophyta; Magnoliopsida; Rosales; Rosaceae.